Long non-coding RNA from Oncorhynchus keta (chum salmon), 1498 nucleotides. RefSeq lists it as uncharacterized. NCBI's taxonomy places the organism in Eukaryota, Metazoa, Chordata, Actinopteri, Salmoniformes, Salmonidae. The transcript has 5 exons. The record is from RefSeq and is a predicted model, not a curated record.
AGUGUGGUGGUGGUGGUGGUGGUUAUAGUGUGGUGGUGGUGGUUAUAGUGUGGUGGUGGUUAUAGUGUGGUGGUGGUGUGGUGGUGGUUAUAGUGUGGUGGUGGUGUGGUGGUGGUUAUAGUGUGGUGGUGGUGGUGGUGGUGGUGGUGGUUAUAGUGUGGUGGUGGUUAUAGUGUGGUAGGUUAUAGUGUGGUAGGUUAUAGUGUGGUGGUGGUUAUAGUGUGGUAGGUUAUAGUGUGGUAGGUUAUAGUGUGGUAGGUUAUAGUGUGGUGGUGGUUAUAGUGUGGUGGUGGUUAUAGUGUGGUGGUGGUUAUAGUGUGGUGGUGGUUAUAGUGUGGUAGGUUAUAGUGUGGUAGGUUAUAGUGUGGUAGGUUAUAGUGUGGUGGUGGUUAUAGUGUGGUGGUGGUUAUAGUGUGGUAGGUUAUAGUGUGGUGGUGGUUAUAGUGUGGUAGGUUAUAGUGUGGUAGGUUAGUGUGGUAGGUUAUAGUGUGGUAGGUUAUAGUGUGGUGGUGGUGUGGUGGUUAUAGUGUGGUAGGUUAUAGUGUGGUAGGUUAUAGUGUGGUGGUGGUUAUAGUGUGGUGGUGGUUAUAGUGUGGUAGGUUAUAGUGUGGGAGGUUAUAGUGUGGGAGGUUAUAGUGUGGGAGGUUAUAGUGUGGGAGGUUAUAGUGUGGUAGGUUAUAGUGUGGGAGGUUAUAGUGUGGGAGGUUAUAGUGUGAGAGGUUAUAGUGUGGGAGGUUAUAGUGUGGUGGUGGUUAUAGUGUGGUGGUGGUUAUAGUGUGGUGGUGGUUAUAGUGUGGUGGUGGUUAUAGUGUGGUGGUGGUUAUAGUGUGGUAGGUUGUAGUGUAGUAGGUUAUAGUGUAGUAGGUUAUAGUGUAGUAGGUUAUAGUGUGGUAGGUUAUAGUGUGGUGGUGGUUAUAGUGUGGUGGUGGUUAUAGUGUGGUAGGUUAUAGUGUGGGAGGUUAUAGUGUGGGAGGUUAUAGUGUGUAGGUUAUAGUGUGGUGGUUAUAGGCGAGUGGUCGGAGAUUGUAGGUAGGUGACUGGGUUCCCCACAUAAACAAAUACUCUUUUUGGUUUUAAUUAAGAGUACAGAUUGGGAGAAUAUACAAACUCUUCUGAGAAAUGUUAUAAUUUUAUUGAGUAAAUGUAUUUAUCAGAGAGAUGAAAAUGUAAUGAAUGUAAUGUAAUGAAAUUUCAGGGUUGUGUCAUUAGAUUUGUGGGGGGGAGUGGGUUGUGAGAAAUUCUGUGGGGGGGGGAGGGGGGAAUGGGGUCCCCCACAGAAAACCACUGAAUACAACCGCUAUAGGCUAUUCAGAGCUGUGGUCGGGUCCGGUCCAUCAGCUGUAGUUACAUAGACCAGAGACCUGUGGCAAUCAAACAUGGAUCCAACCCAGACCCCAGGGACAAUUUUAGACUCAGACAGUUCCGGAGUCGGGUCUCAGAUAUUGGGGAAGACCUGUGAAGACCUCAGUGUGUGUGUGUGUGUAGCUAGAUGUUAUUG